AACUGGUUGCAUUCACAUAAGUUUGUCAUACGGACAGCCAUGUGCGUGCGCACGUAUGUAUGCAUGACCACGGCCCCUUCUCAACAACAGUCCGCUGCCCGCUCUUGCCGGACCUGCCCUCUGCCCAUGGAGAUUGCGCGCAUUCACCCUGCGGCGGCUAAUUAAAAACGCGCCAAGACCGAGGGUUGGGUUGGGUGAGGAGCACCGAAAUGUUUGAGCUUGUGCUUGAGUUAACUGUGAUAUAAAAUAUUGCCUUCGCUUUUACAUUUCUUGCGUUCAAACAAUUUACAAAUUAAUAUGAUAUGUGAGCUUCUUUUAAAUAAAUAUCUGAU
Long non-coding RNA from Drosophila montana, 332 nucleotides. RefSeq lists it as uncharacterized. The record is from RefSeq and is a predicted model, not a curated record. Lineage: Eukaryota; Metazoa; Arthropoda; Insecta; Diptera; Drosophilidae. The transcript has 3 exons.